CAGAUGGAGGGAGCAUUUAAAGUUGUGAUACUGAAGAUUCCCACCCGACUGAAAGCAAAUUCCAAGGGCAUGAAGGUAUUAUCUUCAGAAGUCCUAGAGACCUCAAGGAAGACUAUUUUCCUACAUAGAAAAAGACUAAAAUACUGAAGAAAAGGCCAGUCAUCUCAUGUCGUCUUAUGUAAGAGAAACACAGACAGUUUGAAUAACAUAAACUGCCUCAAUGCCUUAUAAUUUUGAAACAACUUGGGUUGCCCUAAAGCAUAUCAUAGACCUUAAUAAAGAAUAAGCCUUUA
Long non-coding RNA from Pseudopipra pipra, 293 nucleotides. RefSeq lists it as uncharacterized. The record is from RefSeq and is a predicted model, not a curated record. The transcript has 2 exons. NCBI's taxonomy places the organism in Eukaryota, Metazoa, Chordata, Aves, Passeriformes, Pipridae.